UACGGAGGGUGCAAACGUUGCUCGGAAUCAUUGGGCGUAAAGCGCACGUAGGCGGCUUGUUAAGUCGGAUGUGAAAGCCCUCGGCUCAACCGAGGAAGUGCAUACGAAACUGGCGAGCUUGAAUAUGGAAGAGGGUCGCGGAAUUCCCGGUGUAGAGGUGAAAUUCGUAGAUAUCGGGAGGAACACCAGUGGCGAAGGCGGCGACCUGGGCCAAUAUUGACGCUGAGGUGCGAAAGCGUGGGGAGCAAACAGG
RNAcentral lists this ribosomal RNA (253 nucleotides) under uncultured bacterium. RNAcentral's name for it is "partial 16S ribosomal RNA". It matches the Rfam family "Bacterial small subunit ribosomal RNA", at positions 524 to 776 of the family's 1533-position model. The record is from RNAcentral.